GCGGUAAGGCCCCUUCGGGGGUACACGAGCGGCGAACGGGUGAGUAACACGUGAGCAAUCUGCCCCUGUCUCUGGGAUAACCACUGGAAACGGUGGCUAAUACCGGAUAUGACCUCCCUUCGCAUGUUGGGUGGUGGAAAAGUCCGCUGGACAGGGAUGAGCUCGCGGCCUAUCAGCUUGUUGGUGGGGUAAUGGCCUACCAAGGCGACGACGGGUAGCCGGCCUGAGAGGGUGACCGGCCACACUGGGACUGAGACACGGCCCAGACUCCUACGGGAGGCAGCAGUGGGGAAUAUUGGACAAUGGGCGAAAGCCUGAUCCAGCAACGCCGCGUGAGGGAUGACGGCCUUCGGGUUGUAAACCUCUUUCAGCAGGGACGAAGCGAAAGUGACGGUACCUGCAGAAGAAGGACCGGCCAACUACGUGCCAGCAGCCGCGGUAAUACGUAGGGUCCGAGCGUUGUCCGGAAUUAUUGGGCGUAAAGGGCUCGUAGGCGGUUUGUCACGUCGGGAGUGAAAACUCAGGGCUUAACCCUGAGCGUGCUUCCGAUACGGGCUGACUAGAGGGAUGCAGGGGAGAACGGAAUUCCUGGUGUAGCGGUGGAAUGCGCAGAUAUCAGGAGGAACACCGGUGGCGAAGGCGGUUCUCUGGGCAUUUCCUGACGCUGAGGAGCGAAAGCAUGGGGAGCGAACAGGAUUAGAUACCCUGGUAGUCCAUGCCGUAAACGUUGGGCGCUAGGUGUGGGGACCUUCCACGGUUUCCGUGCCGCAGCUAACGCAUUAAGCGCCCCGCCUGGGGAGUAC
Molecule: ribosomal RNA, 803 nt
Filed under: Aeromicrobium sp.
Lineage: Bacteria; Bacillati; Actinomycetota; Actinomycetes; Propionibacteriales; Nocardioidaceae
Description: bacterial SSU rRNA
Rfam family: Bacterial small subunit ribosomal RNA
Source: RNAcentral